This 2453-nucleotide unclassified non-coding RNA is filed under the name Drosophila ananassae. RNAcentral's name for it is "GF18647". The record is from RNAcentral. Lineage: Eukaryota; Metazoa; Arthropoda; Insecta; Diptera; Drosophilidae.
AUUACAUUAAAAUUCAAUUCACAGUUUAGUUUUUCGACUUGCUUGUCAUUACACAAUAUUAUUGACGAUCAGAAAAUUGAUGAACUUUGCUCCAACACUCAAAUUGCAUUUGAUUUAUCGUUAUGUGUGAUAGAAAGUUGUAAAUAGUUUAGGGGCAGUUUCUCUAAAAUUCGACACAAGACGGCACACAGAAUGAUUCUGUGCGUGAAAAAAUUUCAGUAACAAUCAAAAUAUAAUUAAAAUAGAAGAUGGUAAAAUAAACCAUUAUGAAAAAUAAUUUUAAAAAAACGUAAAAUAGAAGACCAGCUAUGAACUAAGCGAGGAAGUAUUCAUCCGCAGACAACAUAGAUUGAUAGCUGCGAACUCGCGUGAUAUCCACCGCUGCGGACUCGCUCUGUGUGUCGUCGGUGACCAUAUAGUCCCCCAUAAUCCUCAUAUAAUCCUGAAUCAGUUCCCGAAUCAUGUCCGCAAUGGCUGCCGAUAAACGCGCCUCAUUCGCGCGCCGUGCCGAAAGUUUGGUGGAGCGGAAAUACAAUAUCAGCACGGAGAAAUGCGGAGAUCUUACUGUUGUGGUCCAGGGCGACCUGUCGCAGCAGGAGAAACGCGCCGUUUUCAUUACGGUUCACGACCUAGGCUGCAAUCAUAAUUCCUUCCAGGAGUUCGUGAGCAGCCCCUGCAUGACGGAGAUAAAGGAGCGCUCCUGCUUCAUUCACGUGGAUGUACCGGGACACGCUGACAAUGCCGAUGCCCUGGCCGAUGGCUUCCCAUUUCCCUCGCUCCAGUCCCUGGGCGAGGACUUGGUCACUGUGCUGGACUACCUUCACGUAAAGUACGUGAUUGGCCUUGGCGAGGGCGCCGGUGCCAAUGUCCUGGCCCGCUUCGGUCUGGCCCAUCCCAGCCGGGUGCUCGGCCUGAUCCUGAUCAAUGCCACUGGCAGUGCAGCCAGUGUGCUUCAGUCCUUCAAGAACAAGUUCAUUAGCUGGAAGAGCGACGAGGUGGCCCAGUCUGCUGAGAGCUUUCUGAUGUACCACAAAUUUGGACAUGUUAUGGAGCAAAUCGUGGGCGAGAAUCCGGACAAGGACAAGAUUGUGGCCGAAUACCAGAAGCGUCUGCAUCGCUCCCUAAACAGCAAGAACAUCGGCUUGUAUGUCAAAGCAUUUAUGAAUCGCAAGGACCUUACGCUCAAAGGUUGCAAAGUGGAUGUCAUUCUGAUUACUGGAAUGCUGAGUCCUUAUGCAUCAAUGGUUGAGAAACUGCACCGAGAUGUGGAGAAGGAGAGAGUCACCAUAUUGAAAAUUGAGCGUGCUGGAGAUGUCCUGGCUGAUGCUCCCGGAAAAGUGGCCCAGUCCAUUUUGCUUUUCUGCAAGGGUCAGGGACUACUCACAUCAGUAGUUAUGCCAGGAGUGGAUCGCGGACGGGCCUUCUCCACUGCUAGCUCUGGAUCUUUGGAGGGUGCCAACGGUUCGCGGCGACUUUCGCGGGGCAUUUCAAUGGAAGACUACGACAAGCCCAACAUCCGCCGGCUCAGCAUCAUGAACAGUGAGUUGCCCAAAAAGGAGUAAUCACACCACAGCUACACCUACAGCUACAGCUACAGCUAAAAUGCGGGCAAAACGUACAGCUCCCAGCGUUGUCUGAAAUCGAACAAUUAUGUCAACCCAAAGCCAAACAAUCAUCCCAGAUGUAAUCGCAUAUAAUCUUAGUCGAAUGGUGAUGGACGUCUUAAGCCAAAUUUUAAUUAGCAAUCGCUUCGAAUAUUUAACAAGCAAAAUCAGCAACAAAAACACAUUGUUCAUACUCAAUGAUGGCACACACUCAAGUGGAUGUCGACUCGUUUUUAAACUGUGUAUUUAGGUUUAGUCUUAUGACCCCAAGGAUCCCACCUGUGAAAAUGAAACUAAAGCAAAGCAUUCAUAUCUUAAUCUUCCACUCAAGCGAACUUAGACACAACUGCUAAAUAUUAACUACGAACAAGCAAUCAUCUAUGUAAUACCUCCGAUUAGAAAACUGUACCUAAACGCGUAGAAACUAUGGCGACUCACUUUUAAUUGUGACCCACUAUCCCUAAAAUUUUAUAUCAUUUUUCUGAACAGUCUCAAAUGUUGCUAUUUUAAGAAAACAAAAAUCAUAUAUAAAAAGUUUGAAUAGCAUAAUUUAAAAGCACCUCUAUAAUGGAAAGAGUAAUUAAAAUAUUUAUAAUAAAUGAAGGCACACGGAUUGAAUGUUUACGAGUUGUACGUAAGUGCAAACAAUCAAAAUCAAAAGCAAUUGGAAACCCAAAAAAAAUAUUUUAAUGCAAUGUAGCUCUGCGCCGUUUUUUGAAGCAAGUAUUACAAUUGUUUUAUCUCGCAUUGGCUUUAGCUUAACAUUUAGUAAAGACAUUCAAGUCGACCAAGCACUCAGAUAAAUAGAUGCAACCACACAGUUACAAAAUAAAGUUGAUAAAGAAGGAA